UACAAUAAGCAAAAUAAGGGCGUAUGGGGGAUGCCUUGGCUCUCAGAGGCGAUGAAGGGCGUGAUAAGCUGCGAAAAGCUACGGGGAUCAGCACACAUGACUUGAUCCGUAGAUACCCGAAUGGGGCAACCCACUAUGUUGAAGACAUAGUACACCGAUAGGUGGGCAAACCCGCUGAACUGAAACAUCUAAGUAGGCGGAGGAGAAGAAAACAAAAGUGAUUCCGUAAGUAGUGGCGAGCGAACGCGGAUUAGCCCAAACCAAUGUUGUUACGGCAAUGUUGGGGUUGUAGGACCACGUUAUUUGUUGCGGAUAGAAUUAGAAUUUACUGGAAAGUAAAGCCAAAGAAGGUGAUAGCCCUGUAUAAGUAAUAGAAGAUAACGAUAGUGGUAUCCUGAGUAGGGCGGGACACGAGAAAUCCUGUCUGAAUUUGGCGGGACCAUCCGCUAAGGCUAAAUACUCCUGAGAGACCGAUAGUGAACCAGUACCGUGAGGGAAAGGUGAAAAGAACCGUGAAUAACGGAGUGAAAUAGAUCCUGAAACCAUACGCUUACAAGCGGUCGGAGCCCUUUCGUGGGGUGACGGCGUGCCUUUUGCAUAAUGAGCCUACGAGUUAACGUUGCUGGCAAGGUUAAGUGAUUAAGUCACGGAUCCGUAGCGAAAGCGAGUCUGAAUAGGGCGCUUUAGUCAGUAGUGUUAGACGCGAAACCGUGUGAUCUACCCAUGGACAGGAUGAAGCUGUGGUAACACAUAGUGGAGGUCCGAACCCGUUGACGUUGAAAAGUCUUGGGAUGAUCUGUGGGUAGGGGUGAAAGGCCAAUCAAACUCGGAAAUAGCUCGUACUCCCCGAAAUGCAUUUAGGUGCAGCGUUAUGGUUAAAGUUAUAUAGAGGUAGAGCUACUGAUUGGAUGCGGGGGCUUCACCGCCUACCAAUUCCUGACAAACUCCGAAUGCUAUAUAAUGUUUCAUAACAGUGAGGGCUUGGGUGCUAAGGUCCAAGUCCGAGAGGGAAAGAACCCAGACCAUCAGCUAAGGUCCCCAAAUAUAUACUAAGUUGAAAGAACGAGGUCUGUCUGCAUCGACAGCUAGGAUGUUGGCUUGGAAGCAGCCAUUCAUUUAAAGAGUGCGUAACAGCUCACUAGUCGAGCGGACGGGCAUGGAUAAUAAUCGGGCAUAAGUAUAUUACCGAAGCUAUGGAUUUAGAGAUUACUCUAAGUGGUAGGGGAGCAUUCUAACAGGGUAGAAGGUGAGUCGUAAGGCUUGCUGGACUGGUUAGAAAAGAAAAUGUAGGCAUAAGUAACGAUAAUGCGGGCGAGAAACCCGCACACCGAAAAACUAAGGUUUCCACAGCUAUGCUAAUCAGCUGUGGGUUAGUCUGGUCCUAAGGCGAACCCGAAAGGGACAGUCGAUGGCCAACGGGUUAAUAUUCCCGUACUACUAUUAAUUGUGAUGGGGUGACGGAGUGAUGAAAGCGCCGCGAACUGACGGAAUAGUUCGUUGAAGUACCUACCUAUAAGAACCGCAGGCAAAUCCACGGUUUUUGGGGAAAUACGAUAGUACUCGGAGCCUUCGGGCAAAGAGAUAGUGCGCCUAAGGGCUUCCAAGAAAAACCUCUAAACUUCAGAUU
RNAcentral lists this ribosomal RNA (1627 nucleotides) under Flavobacterium psychrophilum DSM 3660 = ATCC 49418. RNAcentral's name for it is "bacterial LSU rRNA". It matches the Rfam family "Bacterial large subunit ribosomal RNA", at positions 1 to 1633 of the family's 2925-position model. Lineage: Bacteria; Pseudomonadati; Bacteroidota; Flavobacteriia; Flavobacteriales; Flavobacteriaceae. The record is from RNAcentral.